Molecule: ribosomal RNA, 253 nt
Filed under: uncultured bacterium
Lineage: Bacteria
Description: partial 16S ribosomal RNA
Rfam family: Bacterial small subunit ribosomal RNA
Source: RNAcentral
UACGUAUGGUGCGAGCGUUGUCCGGAUUUACUGGGCGUGAAGGGGGCGCAGGCGGCGCGCCAAGCCCGAUGUGAAAGCCCGGGGCUCAACCCCGGGACUGCAUUGGGAACUGGCGUGCUGGAGUGCCGGAGGGGCAGGCGGAAUUCCUGGUGUAGCGGUGAAAUGCGUAGAUAUCAGGAGGAACACCGGUGGCGAAGGCGGCCUGCUGGACGGCAACUGACGCUGAGGCUCGAAAGCGUGGGGAGCAAACAGG